UGGGGAAUAUUGGACAAUGGGCGCAAGCCUGAUCCAGCCAUGCCGCGUGUGUGAAGAAGGCCUUAUGGUUGUAAAGCACUUUAAGCGAGGAGGAGGGUACUGGUAUUAAUACUACCAGGUACUGGACGUUACUCGCAGAAUAAGCACCGGCUAACUCUGUGCCAGCAGCCGCGGUAAUACAGAGGGUGCGAGCGUUAAUCGGAUUUACUGGGCGUAAAGCGUGCGUAGGCGGCUAAUUGAGUCGGAUGUGAAAUCCCCGAGCUUAACUUGGGAAUUGCAUUCGAUACUGGUUAGCUAGAGUGUGGGAGAGGAUGGUAGAAUUCCAGGUGUAGCGGUGAAAUGCGUAGAGAUCUGGAGGAAUACCGAUGGCGAAGGCAGCCAUCUGGCCUAACACUGACGCUGAGGUACGAAAGCAUGGGGAGCAAACAGG
Molecule: ribosomal RNA, 430 nt
Filed under: Pseudomonadota bacterium
Lineage: Bacteria; Pseudomonadati; Pseudomonadota
Description: Proteobacteria bacterium partial 16S ribosomal RNA
Rfam family: Bacterial small subunit ribosomal RNA
Source: RNAcentral